RNAcentral lists this ribosomal RNA (386 nucleotides) under uncultured bacterium. Its description in RNAcentral is "bacterial SSU rRNA". It matches the Rfam family "Bacterial small subunit ribosomal RNA", at positions 30 to 416 of the family's 1533-position model. The record is from RNAcentral.
AUUGAACGCUGGCGGCAUGCCUUACACAUGCAAGUCGAACGGCAGCACGGGAGCAAUCCUGGUGGCGAGUGGCGAACGGGUGAGUAAUAUAUCGGAACGUGCCCAGUCGUGGGGGAUAACGUAGCGAAAGCUACGCUAAUACCGCAUACGAUCUAUGGAUGAAAGCGGGGGAUCGCAAGACCUCGCGCGAUUGGAGCGGCCGAUAUCAGAUUAGGUAGUUGGUGAGGUAAAGGCUCACCAAGCCGACGAUCUGUAGCUGGUCUGAGAGGACGACCAGCCACACUGGGACUGAGACACGGCCCAGACUCCUACGGGAGGCAGCAGUGGGGAAUUUUGGACAAUGGGCGCAAGCCUGAUCCAGCAAUGCCGCGUGCAGGAUGAGGCCU